GCCAUGCAAGUCUCAGUACAUGCCUAACUAAGGUGAAACCGCAAAAGGCUCAUUAAAUCAGUUAUGGUUCCUUGGAUCUUAAACAGUUACUUGGAUAACUGUGGUAAUUCUAGAGCUAAUACAUGCAAACAAGUCCCGACCAGAGAUGGGAGGGACGCUUUUAUUAGAUCAAAACCGAUCGGCGUCCGGCUCCGGCCGGCGCCGUCUCUUUUGGUGACUCUGGAUAACUUUUAGCCGAUCGCACGGUCACAGUACCGGCGACGCAUCUUUCAAAUGUCUGACUUAUCAACUGUCGAUGGUAGGCUCUGCGCCUACCAUGGUUGUAACGGGUAACGGGGAAUCAGGGUUCGAUUCCGGAGAGGGAGCCUGAGAAACGGCUACCACAUCCAAGGAAGGCAGCAGGCGCGCAAAUUACCCACUCCCGGCACGGGGAGGUAGUGACGAAAAAUAACGAUACGGGACUCAUCCGAGGCCCCGUAAUCGGAAUGAGUACACUUUAAAUACUUUAACGAGUACCAAUUGGAGGGCAAGUCUGGUGCCAGCAGCCGCGGUAAUUCCAGCUCCAAUAGCGUAUAUUAAAGUUGUUGCGGUUAAAAAGCUCGUAGUUGGAUCUGUGUGCCACGCUGUCGGUUCACCGCCUGUCGGUGUCAACUGGCAUGUCUGUGGGACGUCCUGCCGGUGGCGGUACGGGCUGUCGGCGCUGCGUAGGGGCUCGUCCCCGAAGCACGCCGGCGUGUCCCGGUCCGCCGAUCCAAUCCCGCCGCGGUGCUCUUCACUGAGUGUCGAGGUGGGCCGGCACGUUUACUUUGAACAAAUUAGAGUGCUCAAAUCAGGUCGUAUUUAGGCCUGAAUACUG
This 856-nucleotide ribosomal RNA is filed under the name Graptopsaltria nigrofuscata. RNAcentral describes it as "SSU rRNA". It matches the Rfam family "Eukaryotic small subunit ribosomal RNA", at positions 48 to 804 of the family's 1831-position model. RNAcentral also lists the same sequence under 1 other name. Lineage: Eukaryota; Metazoa; Arthropoda; Insecta; Hemiptera; Cicadidae. The record is from RNAcentral.